RNAcentral lists this ribosomal RNA (449 nucleotides) under uncultured bacterium. Its description in RNAcentral is "bacterial SSU rRNA". It matches the Rfam family "Bacterial small subunit ribosomal RNA", at positions 329 to 794 of the family's 1533-position model. The record is from RNAcentral.
UUCCAGACUCCUACGGGAGGCAGCAGUGGGGAAUAUUGCACAAUGGGGGAAACCCUGAUGCAGCGACGCCGCGUGAGUGAAGAAGUAAUUCGUUAUGUAAAGCUCUAUCAGCAGGGAAGAAAAUGACGGUACCUGAGUAAGAAGCCCCGGCUAACUACGUGCCAGCAGCCGCGGUAAUACGUAGGGGGCAAGCGUUAUCCGGAUUUACUGGGUGUAAAGGGAGCGUAGACGGCAGUGCAAGUCUGGAGUGAAAGGCGGGGGCUCAACCCCCGGACUGCUCUGGAAACUGUAUGGCUGGAGUACUGGAGAGGCAAGCGGAAUUCCUAGUGUAGCGGUGAAAUGCGUAGAUAUUAGGAAGAACACCAGUGGCGAAGGCGGCUUGCUGGACAGUAACUGACGUUGAGGCUCGAAAGCGUGGGGAGCAAACAGGAUUAGAUACCCGUGUAAAA